AUUAAACGCUGGCGGCAUGCCUUACACAUGCAAGUCGAACGGCAGCACGGGGGCAACCCUGGUGGCGAGUGGCGAACGGGUGAGUAAAGCAUCGGAACGUGCCCUGGAGUGGGGGAUAACGUAGCGAAAGUUACGCUAAUACCGCAUAUUCUGUGAGCAGGAAAGCAGGGGAUCGCAAGACCUUGCGCUCUGGGAGCGGCCGAUGUCGGAUUAGCUAGUUGGUGGGGUAAAGGCCUACCAAGGCGACGAUCCGUAGCGGGUCUGAGAGGAUGAUCCGCCACACUGGGACUGAGACACGGCCCAGACUCCUACGGGAGGCAGCAGUGGGGAAUUUUGGACAAUGGGCGAAAGCCUGAUCCAGCCAUGCCGCGUGAGUGAAGAAGGCCUUC
Molecule: ribosomal RNA, 389 nt
Filed under: uncultured bacterium
Lineage: Bacteria
Description: bacterial SSU rRNA
Rfam family: Bacterial small subunit ribosomal RNA
Source: RNAcentral